This 1201-nucleotide ribosomal RNA is filed under the name uncultured organism. Its description in RNAcentral is "bacterial SSU rRNA". It matches the Rfam family "Bacterial small subunit ribosomal RNA", at positions 24 to 1196 of the family's 1533-position model. The record is from RNAcentral.
UCAGGACGAACGCUGGCGGCGUGCUUAACACAUGCAAGUCAAGGAGAACAGAUUUCUUCGGAGGUCUUAGUAAACUGGCGAACGGGUGAGUAACACGUAGGUAACCUGCCCUUGAAUCUGGGAUAACCUUGCUAAAGCGGGGCUAAUACCGGUUAUAAUCCUUUUUUCGUAUGUUAGAGGGAUGAAAGUUGCCUUUUGGUAACGUUCAAGGAUGGACCUGCGUCCCAUUAGCUAGUUGGUGAGGUAACGGCUCACCAAGGCAACGAUGGGUAGCCGGCCUGAGAGGGUGACCGGCCACACUGGGACUGAGAUACGGCCCAGACUCCUACGGGAGGCAGCAGUGAGGAAUAUUGCGCAAUGGCCGAAAGGCUGACGCAGCAACGCCGCGUGGGUGAUGACGCUCCAAGGAGUGUAAAGCCCUGUUAGGAGGGAAGAACGACAUUGGCGUGAAUAAUGUCAAUGCAUGACGGUACCUCCAGAGAAAGCCCCGGCUAACUCCGUGCCAGCAGCCGCGGUAAUACGGGGGGGGCAAGCGUUGUCCGGAAUUAUUGGGCGUAAAGGGCGCGUAGGCGGAAUAAUAAGUCAGAGGUGAAAACCAUGGGCUUAACUUAUGGCUUGCCUUUGAAACUGUUAUUCUUGAGUGCGGAAGAGGGAAGUGGAAUUCCUGGUGUAGCGGUGAAAUGCGUAGAUAUCAGGAAGAACACCGGUAGCGAAGGCGGCUUCCUGGUCCGUAACUGACGCUGAGGCGCGAAAGGCGUGGGGAGCAAACAGGAUUAGAUACCCUGGUAGUCCACGCCGUAAACGAUGGGCACUAGGUGUUGGUUCACGAUGAGUGGAUCAGUGCCGAAGCUAACGCAUUAAGUGCCCCGCCUGGGGAGUACGAUCGCAAGGUUGAAACUCAAAGGAAUUGACAGGGGGCCCGCACAAGCGGUGGAGCAUGUGGUUUAAUUCGAUGCAACGCGAAGAACCUUACCUGGGCUUGAACUGAAGUGGCUCGNCCACCGAAAAGGUGGUUUUUUCCUUUCGGGAACUGCUUCNAGAGGUGCUGCAUGGCUGUCGUCAGCUCGUGCCGUGAGGUGUUGGGUUAAGUCCCGCAACGAGCGCAACCAUUGCCCUUAGUUGCCAUCAGGUUAUGCUGGGAACUCUAAGGGGACUGCCCCGGAUAACGGGGAGGAAGGUGGGGAUGACGUCAAGUCCUCAU